GAUGAACGCUGGCGGCGUGCCUAAUACAUGCAAGUCGAGCGAACAGACGAGGAGCUUGCUCCUCUGACGUUAGCGGCGGACGGGUGAGUAACACGUGGAUAACCUACCUAUAAGACUGGGAUAACUUCGGGAAACCGGAGCUAAUACCGGAUAACAUGUUGAACCGCAUGGUUCAACAGUGAAAGACGGUUUUGCUGUCACUUAUAGAUGGAUCCGCGCCGCAUUAGCUAGUUGGUAAGGUAACGGCUUACCAAGGCAACGAUGCGUAGCCGACCUGAGAGGGUGAUCGGCCACACUGGAACUGAGACACGGUCCAGACUCCUACGGGAGGCAGCAGUAGGGAAUCUUCCGCAAUGGGCGAAAGCCUGACGGAGCAACGCCGCGUGAGUGAAGAAGGUCUUCGGAUCGUAAAACUCUGUUAUUAGGGAAGAACAAAUGUGUAAGUAACUACGCACGUCUUGACGGUACCUAAUCAGAAAGCCACGGCUAACUACGUG
This 497-nucleotide ribosomal RNA is filed under the name uncultured bacterium. RNAcentral's name for it is "partial 16S ribosomal RNA". It matches the Rfam family "Bacterial small subunit ribosomal RNA", at positions 28 to 507 of the family's 1533-position model. The record is from RNAcentral.